UGGGGAAUAUUGCACAAUGGGCGCAAGCCUGAUGCAGCGACGCCGCGUGGGGGAUGACGGCCUUCGGGUUGUAAACUCCUUUCGCUAGGGACGAAGCUUUUUGUGACGGUACCUAGAUAAGAAGCACCGGCUAACUACGUGCCAGCAGCCGCGGUAAUACGUAGGGUGCGAGCGUUGUCCGGAAUUACUGGGCGUAAAGGGCUCGUAGGUGGUUUGUCGCGUCGUCUGUGAAAUUCCGGGGCUUAACUCCGGGCGUGCAGGCGAUACGGGCAUAACUUGAGUACUGUAGGGGUAACUGGAAUUCCUGGUGUAGCGGUGAAAUGCGCAGAUAUCAGGAGGAACUCCGAUGGCGAAGGCAGGUUACUGGGCAGUUACUGACGCUGAGGAGCGAAAGCAUGGGUAGCGAACAGG
Molecule: ribosomal RNA, 411 nt
Filed under: Actinomycetes bacterium
Lineage: Bacteria; Bacillati; Actinomycetota; Actinomycetes
Also listed under: 1 other name
Description: Actinobacteria bacterium partial 16S ribosomal RNA
Rfam family: Bacterial small subunit ribosomal RNA
Source: RNAcentral